CAGCUGUGCUCUUUCUCUUUCAGUGAGGUUUGAGGUUCGAGGUCCAGCUGCUCCUGUGAUUGUGUCCCCUGGUGAAGACGCUGUCCUGCCCUGUUACCUCUCACCAGACAUCAGUGCUGCAGACCUACAGAUCAGGUGGUUUAGAGAGGAUUACACAGCCCCGGUGUGUUUAUAUAAAUCAGGCCAGUAUAACCUUGUGAGACAGAACCCAGCCUACAGGGACAGGGCUGGUCUAUUCCUGCAGGAGCUCCACAGAGGCAAUGUGUCUUUAACACUGAGAGAUGUGAGACGCUCUGACCAUGGACAGUACACAUGCUUGGUUGUUUCGGAACAGAUGGAUGAUGAAGCUGUUAUUGACCUUGGUGUGAGAGCCCUGGGCUCCCAGCCCUCAGUGUCUCUCCACUCCCCUGGAGGAGAUCAGGCCCAGCUGCUGUGCAGAUCAGAGGGCUGGUUCCCUCAACCUGCAGUGAUCUGGACAGACAGGGAUGGAAACGAGGUGACAUCACAGCCCCCC
Lepisosteus oculatus (spotted gar) is the source of this 514-nucleotide non-coding RNA. The record is from RefSeq and is a predicted model, not a curated record. NCBI's taxonomy places the organism in Eukaryota, Metazoa, Chordata, Actinopteri, Semionotiformes, Lepisosteidae.